AUUUGGCGGACGGGUGAGUAACGCGUGGGAACGUACCUUUUGCUACGGAAUAACUCAGGGAAACUUGUGCUAAUACCGUAUGUGCCCUUCGGGGGAAAGAUUUAUCGGCAAAGGAUCGGCCCGCGUUGGAUUAGCUAGUUGGUGAGGUAAAGGCUCACCAAGGCGACGAUCCAUAGCUGGUCUGAGAGGAUGAUCAGCCACACUGGGACUGAGACACGGCCCAGACUCCUACGGGAGGCAGCAGUGGGGAAUAUUGGACAAUGGGCGCAAGCCUGAUCCAGCCAUGCCGCGUGAGUGAUGAAGGCCCUAGGGUUGUAAAGCUCUUUCACCGGUGAAGAUAAUGACGGUAACCGGAGAAGAAGCCCCGGCUAACUUCGUGCCAGCAGCCGCGGUAAUA
Molecule: ribosomal RNA, 397 nt
Filed under: uncultured bacterium
Lineage: Bacteria
Description: bacterial SSU rRNA
Rfam family: Bacterial small subunit ribosomal RNA
Source: RNAcentral